Small nuclear RNA from Pseudoliparis swirei, 192 nucleotides. RefSeq annotates it as U2 spliceosomal RNA. The record is from RefSeq and is a predicted model, not a curated record. The transcript has a single exon. Lineage: Eukaryota; Metazoa; Chordata; Actinopteri; Perciformes; Liparidae.
GUCAUUGCUUCGCCUUUGGCUAAGAUCAAGUGUAGUAUCUGUUCUAUCAGUUUAAUAUCUGAUAUAUAUCUAUAAUAUGACGCAUAACUUAUUAAGCAGAUUUUUAGCAUUAGAGAUGAAAAAGGAGCUUGCUUCAUCUUACUCCACGCAUUGACCCAGUAUUGCAGUAUUGCUGGGAACGGUGCACCCUUC